AGAAUGCCAGGGGUUCUUACUCCCAAUGGACUGUAAUCUGCUUUCACAUGCUUAACAGCACUGUAAGUAGCUUUGUAGAGAAAAUUCCAAUUCAAAUGAUUCCAAAGUGUUUGUGAAUCUCAUAGAGCUGAAUGUCAUUGUUAAUUCAAGGAUGAUUUAUAUAUAUAUUGUAAUUUUUAUGAUUGUGUCCAAGGUCUGUGUUGGAAGAACUGCAAGUGAGUGCACAACGCUUUUUGUCAGUUGAAAAGACGGGAAAAGUGAAAGGGCUCAUCCUCACUCUUAAGGGAAAUUCCAGUGGGAAAGGCUAUGAUUUUUACUCCAGAUAUUUUGCACCUUGGUAUGGAGUUCUGGAAGACCCUGUUACAGGGUCUACCCAUGCUGUUUUGAGCAGCUACUGGUCAGAAAAACUGGGGAAGAAAGAAAUGCUUGUGCUUUGCCAAAGAACAGAAGAGCAAGAGAAGCAACACAAAAUUCCCUCAUCCCCUGCCUGGUUCCCCUUUUGAAGAAACUGUCUCAAGCACCAAAGGCAGUUAUGUUGGAAUCAGCCUCUCUGAUGUGUUCAGCACAAAAAAAGUCCUGUUGUUCCACAAGAGAGGCUUGGGGUUUUUUUCGAUUUCCACGCAAAGAUGUCCUCAAGCUUCUUCUGUGGUACAAGUCAUACAGACCAGAUUUAA
Molecule: long non-coding RNA, 674 nt
Organism: Empidonax traillii (willow flycatcher)
Lineage: Eukaryota; Metazoa; Chordata; Aves; Passeriformes; Tyrannidae
Exons: 3
Source: RefSeq, a predicted model, not a curated record